RNAcentral lists this transfer RNA (63 nucleotides) under Epimeria frankei. RNAcentral's name for it is "tRNA-Met". The record is from RNAcentral. Lineage: Eukaryota; Metazoa; Arthropoda; Malacostraca; Amphipoda; Epimeriidae.
UUAAAAGGUAAGCUAAAAAAGCUGAUAGGCUCAUACCCUAUCUAUGGUCUAACCCCUUUUUAU